GAUGAACGCUGGCGGCGUGCCUAACACAUGCAGGUCGAACGGACUUACAUUGAAGCCUAGCGAUAUGUAAGUUAGUGGCGGACGGGUGAGUAACGCGUGGGUAACCUGCCUUGUACUGGGGGACAACAGUUGGAAACGACUGCUAAUACCGCAUAAGCGCACAGCUUCGCAUGAAGCAGUGUGAAAAACUCCGGUGGUGUGAGAUGGACCCGCGUCUGAUUAGCUAGUUGGCAGGGCAACGGCCUACCAAGGCGACGAUCAGUAGCCGACCUGAGAGGGUGACCGGCCACAUUGGGACUGAGACACGGCCCAAACUCCUACGGGAGGCAGCAGUGGGGAAUAUUGCACAAUGGGGGAAACCCUGAUGCAGCGACGCCGCGUGAGCGAAGAAGUAUUUCGGUAUGUAAGCUCUAUCAGCAGGGAAGAAAAAUGACGGUACCUGACUAAGAAGCACCGG
RNAcentral lists this ribosomal RNA (457 nucleotides) under uncultured bacterium. Its description in RNAcentral is "bacterial SSU rRNA". It matches the Rfam family "Bacterial small subunit ribosomal RNA", at positions 28 to 496 of the family's 1533-position model. The record is from RNAcentral.